Molecule: long non-coding RNA, 919 nt
Organism: Aegilops tauschii subsp. strangulata
Lineage: Eukaryota; Viridiplantae; Streptophyta; Magnoliopsida; Poales; Poaceae
Source: RefSeq, a predicted model, not a curated record
CUGAAAAACAAAAGACAAAACAGAUGAAAACCGAUAAAUCCGUACUACUAGAGCUUGGCAAUGCGGCGGCCGGCGGGGCGGCGGCUCGGUAAAUCCGUGCUGCGGAGCGGGGUGCCCGGUGGCUAGGUAUGUACUCAGGGGCACGCUCCGUCGCCUUGCUCUGGCUCCGCAGUUCCCCGCGAGGGAGAGGGCGAGGCAACGGCCCGGAACCCCGGAAUCGUGGAGCUCGCAACGCGCGCCGCCGGGCAGAUGCCGUCGGGAGGACAGCAGUCCGGUGACGCGCUGUGCGGAGGUUCAGGUUCAGGCAUGGAUUGGACAAAAGCAAAUUCCUGGUCUGGUACUGGUACCCCUUUCCCGCGAGAUAGUGAAGCUAUCAGGUAAUUUGAACGCAGUUUGCCCCAGCUGCACCUCCUUGCUGCCAAGUGAUUGAGAAAGGUGUGCAGCAAUGGCAUGCCCAGCUCGUGCUCGAGCGUGCUGAGCACGGAGCGACUUACAGAUCAUCGCAGGUGCAGCUGCCGUCAGAGUCAGAGGCCAUGGCGGGGCCUUGGAGUACUGCCCUGACUCCCGACUUGUUCACUGCUGCAUCUUUCAGGGCGGGCUCAGGCAGACCGGGUAACGUGUGAAGACUUGUAGUAGCCGGAUAACUGGCUGUAAAUUGUGAUAGGUUAGUUAAUUGCCAGUUAGCUGAAUAGUCUGUCUGAAGAAUUUGUAUUUACUUGGGGGGGUGAUAGUUCAGACGUCCGAAUUUUCAGAUGGUGUCGUUUUGACGCUCUUCAUGGGAAGAUCGAUGUCUUGUGAUUCAGUUCCAAGGUAGAGGAAACAACAAGUCGCUGGCACUCUGCAACCUUGUGCAUACGGCCUGCCUGGUAUCGUAUUGUUGGCUUCACAAAUCUGUCUGAUAAGUUAUUGGGCUGUACAA